GAGUCGGACCUGCCCAGUGAAUAAAUUUUAACGGCCGCGGUACUCUGACCGUGCAAAGGUAGCAUAAUCAUUUGCCCUAUAAUUGAGGGCUAGUAUGAAUGGUUUGACGUGAACAAAACUGUCUCUAUAUAAUUUUUUAGAAUUUGAUUUUUAGGUGAAGAAACCUAAAUAAUAUUGAAAGACAAGAAGACCCUAUUGAGCUUUAAAAGAAUGAAUUGAGAACAAUAUAUAAUUCUAAAUAUUAAUCUAUUGAAGAUUUUGGUUGGGGCGACUAUGGAACAAAUAAAGCUUCUUUAUCACUGAGAAAACUGGCAAGUAUUGAUCCAAAAAUUUUGAUCAAUGGAAUUAGUUACCGUAGGGAUAACAGCAUAAUUCUCUUUAAGAGUUCUUAUCGAAAAGAGAGUUUGUGACCUCGAUGUUGGACUAGAAUAUCCUGAAGAUGCAGCAGUCUUUAAGGGUUGGUC
This 464-nucleotide ribosomal RNA is filed under the name Cribrarula cribraria cribraria. Its description in RNAcentral is "partial 16S large subunit ribosomal RNA". It matches the Rfam family "Bacterial large subunit ribosomal RNA", at positions 1850 to 2577 of the family's 2925-position model. The record is from RNAcentral. Lineage: Eukaryota; Metazoa; Mollusca; Gastropoda; Littorinimorpha; Cypraeidae.